AGGCCGCGGUAUAUUAACUGUGCAAAGGUAGCAUAAUCAUUAGUUUUUUAAUUGGAAACUUGUAUGAAGGGUUGGACAAAGAAAAGACUGUCUUUAUUUUUAGUUUUGAAUUUUACUUUUAAGUGAAAAGGCUUAAAUAUUUUUAAGGGACGAUAAGACCCUAUAAAUCUUUAUACUAUAUUUUGUUGGGGUGACGAGAAUAUAUAAUAAACUGUUCUAAGAAAAACAAAUAUGUUUGGAUAAUUAAUAGAUCCUUUUUAGAGAUUAAAAGUUUAAGUUACUUUAGGGAUAACAGCGUUAUUUUUUUUGAGAGUUCUUAUCGAAAAAAAAGUUUGCGACCUCGAUGUUGAAUUAAAAUUUUCUUUAUGGUGAAGGGGCUGGAAAAGAGAGAGUCUGUUCGACUUUUGAAAUUUUACGUGAUCUGAG
RNAcentral lists this ribosomal RNA (426 nucleotides) under Anoplonida inermis. Its description in RNAcentral is "partial 16S ribosomal RNA". It matches the Rfam family "Bacterial large subunit ribosomal RNA", at positions 1928 to 2609 of the family's 2925-position model. The record is from RNAcentral. Lineage: Eukaryota; Metazoa; Arthropoda; Malacostraca; Decapoda; Munididae.